This is a long non-coding RNA of Rhinolophus ferrumequinum (greater horseshoe bat), 1300 nucleotides long. RefSeq lists it as uncharacterized. Lineage: Eukaryota; Metazoa; Chordata; Mammalia; Chiroptera; Rhinolophidae. The transcript is spliced from 5 exons. The record is from RefSeq and is a predicted model, not a curated record.
CUCACCGGCCUGCUGUUCCCGGGGGCAGGGGGCGGAAUGCCGUGCGCUCUGGAGAUCGUCACUCCGCUGCCCUGGAGGACAGCUUGUAGAACAUCUCAAACCAGGGAAGGUGGCUGUGGAGAGAGGACACAGGUUCCAUGAAGCGCCUCUAGGUCGAGACCUCCUUUCCCUCUCGCCCCAUAUUCCACACCUGAGGAUGCAGAGACAGCUGUGAGCACCAGCCCGGAGGCGACAGAAACCGAAUCGACGGGUGCCGGUCAGGACCACCAGAGGGAGCUGGACCAGAGAGUGGACAUUGGAUCACCAGGGAAGUGGACAGCCAACAGCAGUCAGAACACAGUUAAUUUUGUGUUCAGCACUCCAGCGGACCUGUCUCCAGCUUUGUGGGUGUUGGGAGAUCUUGGUGAUGGCCUCGAUUAGGCGUCCAGAGGAUACCAGUGACUUCUGAAGCUAGGUCAGAAAAAUGCAAUGCAUUCUGCUUGCUCUCCUGGGAUACUUGCUCUUGAGGAGAAGGGGUCGGCCAUCAUGCUGUGAGGAAGCCCAAGCAGACUGUGGAGAGGUACUGAUGCCCUCCUACCUGCCCCUGCUGAAUCCCCAGCCAACAGUUGGCAUCAAGUUGGCAGCCAUGUGACUGAGCCACCUUGAAAGUAGAUUCCUCAGCCUCCAGCUGAGAUUCUGUACCUGAUGCCAAAGGGAGCAGAGAUGAGCUGCCUUGCCAAGCCCUGCCCAAAUUACAGAUUUGGAAACAAAAUAAAUAACUGCUGUUUUAAGCCCCUAACAUUUUGGGAUAGUUUGUUACACAGAAAAAGCUGAUACACCUUGUCUAUCAUAACCUUUGUUUGAAAGAAGAUAAAAGCUCAGACAUUACACAGUUGGUGUGAGAGUUACAUGAGAUGAGACAUGUGCCAGGACAUUGAAGAGCUCCAUCCAUGUUAGUGACUGUUAUUCUGGCAGGACUGACCCUUGGGUGCUAGCCCCAGGCUGCCAUCUCCUCAGCAUUCUUCCCUAGAGAUUCCCUCCUCUGCUUUCCAUACUUGCAAGAUGCCCCACAGAAAAUGGCAGCAGCUCCAUUGGCAAGCACCCACUGUGCCAGGCACUCUGCUCACAAGAUCUCCUCGAAUCCUCACAAACAUCCCUUGGGUGGGUGGGUGGGAUCAUGGAAGGGGGAAGCACAUGAUCCCAUUAUAAGUGAGAAAAUUGAGGAUCAGAGAGGGCAAGUGGCUUAUUCAACGCGACACAGUUAAUUAGUGGCAUAGCCUGGUCUGUCUGACUCCAAAACUUCUGACCCCCUACCCCUGAC